RNAcentral lists this ribosomal RNA (381 nucleotides) under uncultured archaeon. RNAcentral describes it as "bacterial SSU rRNA". It matches the Rfam family "Archaeal small subunit ribosomal RNA", at positions 345 to 728 of the family's 1478-position model. The record is from RNAcentral.
AACCUCUGCAAUAAGCGAAAGCUUGACAGGGUUAUUCUGAGUGAUUUCCGCUAAGGAAGUCUUUUGGCACCUCUAAAAAUGGUGCAGAAUAAGGGGUGGGCAAGCCUGGUGUCAGCCGCCGCGGUAAUACCAGCACCCCGAGUGGUCGGGACGAUUAUUGGGCCUAAAGCAUCCGUAGCCGGUUCUACAAGUCUUCCGUUAAAUCCACCUGCUUAACAGUUGGGCUGCGGAGGAUACUAUAGAGCUAGGAGGCGGGAGAGGCAAGCGGUACUUAGUGGGUAGGGGUAAAAUCCGUUGAUCCACUGAAGACCACCAGUGGCGAAGGCGGCUUGCCAGAACGCGCUCGACGGUGAGGGAUGAAAGCUGGGGGAGCAAACCGGA